UCCAACCUUACCCCCUCGCGUCAGGGAGUAGCCCGCUGAAAGGCGGGAUUAACACCUGAUGGCGUUCACUAGAUGGCAUCGUGACGGUGAAUAAAAGAUAACGGCAAGGGAGUGGGAUGCGUCUGAUUAGCUUGUUGGCGGGGUAACGGCCCACCAAGGCAACGAUCAGUAGGGGUUCUGAGAGGAAGGUCCCCCACAUUGGAACUGAGACACGGUCCAAACUCCUACGGGAGGCAGCAGUGAGGAAUAUUGGUCAAUGGGCGGAAGCCUGAACCAGCCAAAGUAGCGUGCAGGACGACGGCCCUAUGGGUUGUAAACUGCUUUUGUACGGGAAUAAAGUGACCUACGUGUAGGUUUUUGCAUGUACCGUAAGAAUAAGGACCGGCUAAUUCCGUGCCAGCCGCCGC
Molecule: ribosomal RNA, 407 nt
Filed under: uncultured bacterium
Lineage: Bacteria
Description: bacterial SSU rRNA
Rfam family: Bacterial small subunit ribosomal RNA
Source: RNAcentral